This 68-nucleotide transfer RNA is filed under the name Dipodomys ordii (Ord's kangaroo rat). It matches the Rfam family "tRNA". From Rfam's summary of the family: Transfer RNA (tRNA) molecules are approximately 80 nucleotides in length. Their secondary structure includes four short double-helical elements and three loops (D, anti-codon, and T loops). Lineage: Eukaryota; Metazoa; Chordata; Mammalia; Rodentia; Heteromyidae. The record is from Rfam by way of RNAcentral.
GGGACUGUGGCUUAGUGGUAGAGCAUGUCUAGCAUGCAGGAGGCCCUAGGUUCGAUUCCUCAGUACCA